RNAcentral lists this small nucleolar RNA (194 nucleotides) under Lachancea lanzarotensis. Lineage: Eukaryota; Fungi; Ascomycota; Saccharomycetes; Saccharomycetales; Saccharomycetaceae. The record is from RNAcentral.
UCGCCCUGUGCCUUGCUCGGUUGAGUGCUUCUAAUUACUCGAUCUUGAGCUGGAUAGUUUCUCUUUUCUCACAAAGUGACAACUGAGAUGCUAAUGGGCUAGAUUAAUCAUAAGACUUCUUUUGAGUACGAGUUCACCAAUGACUUUUUAUCUGUCAUCAAUGGUUAUUCUCGUAAUUAGAAUGUCAAACAUAU